This 497-nucleotide ribosomal RNA is filed under the name uncultured bacterium. RNAcentral describes it as "partial 16S ribosomal RNA". It matches the Rfam family "Bacterial small subunit ribosomal RNA", at positions 28 to 507 of the family's 1533-position model. The record is from RNAcentral.
GAUGAACGCUGGCGGCGUGCCUAAUACAUGCAAGUCGAGCGAACAGAUGAGGAGCUUGCUCCUCUGACGUUAGCGGCGGACGGGUGAGUAACACGUGGAUAACCUACCUAUAAGACUGGGAUAACUUCGGGAAACCGGAGCUAAUACCGGAUAAUAUAUUGAACCGCAUGGUUCAAUAGUGAACGACGGUUUUGCUGUCACUUAUAGAUGGAUCCGCGCCGCAUUAGCUAGUUGGUAAGGUAACGGCUUACCAAGGCAACGAUGCGUAGCCGACCUGAGAGGGUGAUCGGCCACACUGGAACUGAGACACGGUCCAGACUCCUAAGGGAGGCAGCAGUAGGGAAUCUUCCGCAAUGGGCGAAAGCCUGACGGAGCAACGCCGCGUGAGUGAUGAAGGUCUUCGGAUCGUAAAACUCUGUUAUUAGGGAAGAACAAAUGUGUAAGUAACUAUGCACGUCUUGACGGUACCUAAUCAGAAAGCCACGGCUAACUACGUG